RNAcentral lists this microRNA precursor (89 nucleotides) under Canis lupus dingo (dingo). Its description in RNAcentral is "mir-8799 microRNA precursor family". It matches the Rfam family "mir-8799 microRNA precursor family". The record is from Rfam by way of RNAcentral. Lineage: Eukaryota; Metazoa; Chordata; Mammalia; Carnivora; Canidae.
CGGGGGAGGCCAGAUCCUGGGCUGUGUCUUGGCGCCCUGUGGUCCUGGUCUGCGCUGUUGGAUUCGUGCUCCCGGCCCCGCAGCCCAAG